Molecule: long non-coding RNA, 599 nt
Organism: Nannospalax galili (Upper Galilee mountains blind mole rat)
Lineage: Eukaryota; Metazoa; Chordata; Mammalia; Rodentia; Spalacidae
Exons: 3
Source: RefSeq, a predicted model, not a curated record
CUCAGAGAUGGUAGAACUGGGCUGUAUGACUCCAUAGACCACUCCUAGCCUGCUGCUUGCUCACCUUUCCCAUUCUUCAUCUGUUAAAAGAAUUAAGAGGCAAGAAAACAGAUUCCAUAAAUGAUCCCGGCUGGGCAGGAGACUAAACUGACCUCCAUCCAUGUCCCUGCUACUGCCCAGGAGAUGAAGAAACUCCUCAUAGAGUCCUCAUCCUGUGCUUAAUGCAGCACCUUUCCUUCCUCAAGAAACACUAAGUGGUAACACUCCACACAACAGAAAGAACGCCCCUGAAGUGAGGCCGCAGCCUUUACUGUAUACUGCAGGCACCUCACAAUUUGAAUUUGCUCUGUCACUCUGGUGAUAACAUCUGUCAGCUGAGGAACCACUGGUGGCCAGCCUCUAUGCUAUCAAGUUACCUUCAUUCCCAUGGCAUCUUGCAUCUUUUAGGGAGGUGUUUUGAGAACUGGUAUGUACUUGAUGCUCAUCAAACUUUUAGCUUCUUCAUUGACAGCGGACUUGUUCAGUGUGGACUCAUGGACUCCUACCUAGCGUCAUAUUGCGCCCGCCCCCCCACCAGCCAGUGGGAGCCUUAUUGGUUA